UACGGAGGAUCCGAGCGUUAUCCGGAAUUAUUGGGUUUAAAGGGUGCGUAGGCGGCUUUUUAAGUCAGCGGUGAAAUUUUGCAGCUUAACUGUAACAGUGCCGUUGAUACUGGGGAGCUAGGAUUUGGUUGCUGUGGGUGGAAUGUGUGGUGUAGCGGUGAAAUGCUUAGAGAUCACACAGAAUAUCGAUUGCGAAGGCAGCUCACAAAGCCAAGAUUGACGCCGAGGCACGAAAGUGUGGGGAUCAAACAGGAUUAGAUA
This 261-nucleotide ribosomal RNA is filed under the name uncultured prokaryote. RNAcentral describes it as "partial 16S ribosomal RNA". It matches the Rfam family "Bacterial small subunit ribosomal RNA", at positions 524 to 784 of the family's 1533-position model. The record is from RNAcentral.